Molecule: unclassified non-coding RNA, 335 nt
Filed under: soil metagenome
Description: partial contains 5.8S ribosomal RNA, internal transcribed spacer 2, and large subunit ribosomal RNA
Rfam family: 5.8S ribosomal RNA (bases 1-120)
Source: RNAcentral
GAUGAAGAACGUAGUGAAAUGCGAUAAGUAAUGUGAAUUGCAGAAUUCAGUGAAUCAUCGAAUCUUUGAACGCACAUUGCGCCCGCCAGUAUUCUGGCGGGCAUGCCUGUUCGAGCGUCAUUUCAACCAUCAAGCCCCCGGCUUGUGUUGGGGACCUGCGGCUGCCGCAGGCCCUGAAAACCAGUGGCGGGCUCGCUAGUCACUCCGAGCGUAGUAAUACAUCUCGCUCAGGGCGUGCUGCGGGUUCCGGCCGUUAAACCACCUUCAUAACCCAAGGUUGACCUCGGAUCAGGUAGGAAGACCCGCUGAACUUAAGCAUAUCAAUAAGCGGAGGA